Non-coding RNA from Schizosaccharomyces pombe (fission yeast), 397 nucleotides. The record is from the annotation of a GenBank genome assembly. Lineage: Eukaryota; Fungi; Ascomycota; Schizosaccharomycetes; Schizosaccharomycetales; Schizosaccharomycetaceae.
AACUAGGAAAAAGAACAAAAUAGCGAAAGACAUAUAUAUAUGGAACAGCCAAGUGAUAAACACAAAUAGAAAAAGUUGAAAAACAGGAAUACUCUAUAAGGCAUUCAAUUACGAACCGGGAGAACGACAAGUUUCAUUCACAGUAGCAGCUUGCACUGUCGGAGACUCACUGGACAAAACGACAUCAGCUAAUUCUGAAGAUGAAUCACUAAUAUACCGUUUCAAAUCAUUGAGAGAAGACUUUAGAGAUGGAUCUGAUGAAAAGUUCUGAAUAUAUUCUUCGUCAACUUCACGUUCUUUGGGAUGUGAAAAGGAUCUUUAUAGGUUAACAAUUGAUACGAAAACAAUGAAAUAAAUGAAAACUUACAUAUAUUCCUGUAAACGAUUUCCGACUGGC